GACGAACGCUGGCGGCGUGCUUAACACAUGCAAGUCGAAGAUAGUGGCGAACGGGGGAGUAAUACGUGGGUAACCUGCCCUCCUUUUUGGGAUAAGCGUUGGAAACGGGGUCUACUACCGAAUAAAGGGGGAUGGGCUCGCGGCCUGUCAGCUUGUUGUUGGGGUGAUGGCAUACCAAGGCGGUGACGGGUAGUCGGCCUGAGAGGGUGACCGGGCACAUAGGGACUGUGAUACGGCCCAGGCGCCUACGGGGGGCAGCAGUGGGGGAUAUUGCACAAAGGGCGAAAGCCUGAUGCAGCGACGCCGCGUGGGGGAUGAAGGUUGUCAGGUUGUAACCCUCUUUCGCUAUGGAACCGGUAGGUGGAGAAGAAGCGCCGGCUAACUACGUGCCAGCAGCCGCGGUAAUUC
RNAcentral lists this ribosomal RNA (408 nucleotides) under uncultured bacterium. RNAcentral describes it as "partial 16S ribosomal RNA". It matches the Rfam family "Bacterial small subunit ribosomal RNA", at positions 28 to 526 of the family's 1533-position model. The record is from RNAcentral.